GAUGAAGAACGCAGCGAAAUGCGAUAAGUAAUGUGAAUUGCAGAAUUCAGUGAAUCAUCGAAUCUUUGAACGCAUCUUGCGCUCCUUGGUAUUCCGAGGAGCAUGCCUGUUUGAGUGUCAUUAUAACCCCUCAAGCUCAGCUUGGUGUUGGGGCCUGCUGCACUGGCAGCCCUUAAAAUCAGUGGCGGCGCCAUCUGGCUCUAAGCGUAGUAAUUCUUCUCGCUAUGGAGUCCUGGUGGAUGCUUGCCAUCAACCCCCAAUUUUUCUAUGGUUGACCUCGGAUCAGGUAGGGAUACCCGCUGAACUUAAGCAUAUCAAUAAGCGGAGGA
This 329-nucleotide unclassified non-coding RNA is filed under the name soil metagenome. Its description in RNAcentral is "partial contains 5.8S ribosomal RNA, internal transcribed spacer 2, and large subunit ribosomal RNA". The stretch from base 1 to 120 matches the Rfam family "5.8S ribosomal RNA", at positions 35 to 154 of the family's 154-position model. The record is from RNAcentral.